This 618-nucleotide ribosomal RNA is filed under the name Nigrofomes melanoporus. Its description in RNAcentral is "eukaryotic LSU rRNA". The stretch from base 248 to 401 matches the Rfam family "5.8S ribosomal RNA". Lineage: Eukaryota; Fungi; Basidiomycota; Agaricomycetes; Hymenochaetales; Nigrofomitaceae. The record is from RNAcentral.
CGAGUGCUUUGAAGUGGGCUUGAUGCUGGUGCUUUUUAAGUGCAUGUGCUCAGCUCGCGCUCAAUUCCACUUAACCCCUGUGCACUAUUCGGAGUGUGUUGUCUGUAUACCUUUUUCUUUACUUCUCUUCUAUUGAAGGGAGGGUCAUGCGAAGGGGGGGAAAGGAUGGCAUCUCCGGUUAUCAUUACAAACUCUUCAUUGUGUAUUGUAGAAUGUAUUACCUUUUUAAAAGGUGAAAUUGAAAUACAACUUUCAACAACGGAUCUCUUGGCUCUCGCAUCGAUGAAGAACGCAGCGAAAUGCGAUAAGUAAUGUGAAUUGCAGAAUUCAGUGAAUCAUCGAAUCUUUGAACGCACCUUGCGCUCCUUGGUAUUCCGAGGAGCAUGCCUGUUUGAGUGUCAUGUUAAUCUCAACUUCAUUGGCUUUUUUUGUCAGUGAAAUUGGAAUUGGAGGUUUGCUGCUGGCUUUGCUAUAAAGAACCGGCUCCUCUCAAAUGUAUUAGCUUGGAAUCUUUCUACGCAAUCUUGCGGUGUGAUAGUUCUAUUCACUGCAGAUGUAUAAUGGGUUCCGCUUCGAAUAGUCUUGUUUAAGACAAUUUCAAUCUUGACUCUGACCUCA